AUGGGGCCGUGUCCAGAGUACCAGUUUAAGUUGGGAAUUUCAAGUUCUAACAAGGUUAUACUUUUACAAAUUUACAACCGAUGAUGUUGUGAUAAAGAGAACCAAUAUAAGAAAAUUAUGAAACGACAUGACAAGCUUAGUUAAAAUUUGAUUAUAUAUACUUGAUCACAUAAAAACUCAUUCCCACAAAAGUGAGUUUUGAGCCUUUAUUGAGCAUACAAAUACAUAUCUUUACACUAAAUGCUCAUUUUUCGUUUCUUGUGUGAAUAGCCGCUUGGUUCUUACGACUCUAGAACUUACCACGACAAUACAUUCCCGGUCCUUACCAACUUAAACCCAAGUAAGUAAAUGAUGGAGGCAUUAGGACUAACCCUUUUUUUUUCUACACCAUUAUUUUUUUCAUUUUUUUUACCACCUACCCAAAAUCCCCCUAGUUAACCCCUUUGAGCCUAAACCUUUUCAUUUCUUAACCCAAAAACAAACACCCUUUUUACCCACCAAAACCUUUUUUAUUUUAACCCUUUCUUUUAGUAACAAAGCUCGGUUUUUCUUAUGACUCAAAAAAAAAUAUUUUGAUGAUGAAACCAAAUAAACAAACAAGUUCAUCAAAAAUAACUUUGUUUGAAAUAAAUGGUUCAUCAAAAUAAAAUAAAAUUGUGAAAAAUAAAAAGUCUUUCAAAAACCGACGCUUUUUACGCUUUUCGCCCUUUCACUAACCACUAACCUAACCACUCACCUUUAGCCCAAGCCUAACCUUUCACCCAAAAAGUCCCCUUGAUAUUUACAAAGGUAUAUUGUUAAAAAGGAGGAGGAUUGAUUGCUUGGCAAGCUUAUGGUAGAAGUAAGUUCCAUGCCGCUCUCGAGUGAUUCACUAAAAAUACACCUUCGACCGAGUGUUGAGUGAUCCCCCGUGAGGUAUGUGAACUUGUAUAUAAAUAGAAUUUUAAAAAGGCAUAUUAUGCCCUAAUAAGUAAUUUAUCUUAUGAAAUGUUUUUAAUAAAUCCUGACGAAUAGGAUUGUAAAUAAAUAAAAAUAAAACUUAAAUAAAGAAUCUUGGAAAUCCCGACACUCUAUGACAAGCCCAAAAACCUUCUCUUCUACCCAUUCCAUUUGGGAGUGAAAAAGCCACAUCAUAAAGAGUUUUGCUUGAGGACAAGCAAAGAUUCAAGUGUGGGGGUAUUUGAUGUGCACAAAAUGCAACAUAUAAAUUACAUCAAUUGUGGCAUAAAACUAACCCUUUUUUAGUACUAAUGUUGGAAAAAGUGUGCUUUUGUCUUCCUUUUGUAUUUUCAGGAUUAAAUGAGCUCA
This 1308-nucleotide long non-coding RNA is filed under the name Helianthus annuus (common sunflower). RNAcentral describes it as "sRNA HanXRQr2_Chr15g0706051". The record is from RNAcentral. Lineage: Eukaryota; Viridiplantae; Streptophyta; Magnoliopsida; Asterales; Asteraceae.